Molecule: long non-coding RNA, 402 nt
Filed under: Bemisia tabaci
Lineage: Eukaryota; Metazoa; Arthropoda; Insecta; Hemiptera; Aleyrodidae
Description: lncRNA ENSSSA1NGG001875
Source: RNAcentral
GAUAAAUGCUAAAUUAAAUUUGGUCGUUAAGUUGUUGAGUUGUGAAGUUUUCUGUCAUUUUGUCUAUUCUUGUGUGUUCUUGUUGUUGUGUGACUUGUAACCGUGUUACGUGAUGGUUCGUCUUCACAGAAGCAACCGCCAAGUCCAGAACAAGAAAUUCUGGCUUCAACUUGCAGGAAAUCGAUGGAUCGACAUCAACAAUGCUAAGAAACAUUAAAAGACGCAAAUACAUAGAAGACGAACAACUUUCGCAAGUUUAAUUGUAAGUAUCGCUAUUUUUGAUCCGUAGAUAUUGAUUAAUCAUCGUAUUAUCUAACGUUACCAUGUAAAAUUAAUGCAAUUUGUUUAGUUUUUGUUUUAAGCCACGUAGAUAGAUACAAGGAAAUACUUGUAGUAGUUACG